GUGUCAGCCGCCGCGGUAAUACGGAGGGAGCUAGCGUUGUUCGGAAUUACUGGGCGUAAAGCGCACGUAGGCGGCUAUUCAAGUCAGGGGUGAAAUCCCGGGGCUCAACCCCGGAACUGCCUCUGAAACUAGGUAGCUAGAAUCUUGGAGAGGUCAGUGGAAUUCCGAGUGUAGAGGUGAAAUUCGUAGAUAUUCGGAAGAACACCAGUGGCGAAGGCGACUGACUGGACAAGCAUUGACGCUGAGGUGCGAAAGCGUGGGGAGCAAACAGGAUUAGAAACCCCGGUAGUCC
Molecule: ribosomal RNA, 292 nt
Filed under: uncultured bacterium
Lineage: Bacteria
Description: partial 16S ribosomal RNA
Rfam family: Bacterial small subunit ribosomal RNA
Source: RNAcentral